This 253-nucleotide ribosomal RNA is filed under the name uncultured bacterium. RNAcentral's name for it is "partial 16S ribosomal RNA". It matches the Rfam family "Bacterial small subunit ribosomal RNA", at positions 524 to 776 of the family's 1533-position model. The record is from RNAcentral.
AACGUAGGUGGCGAGCGUUAUCCGGAUUUACUGGGCGUAAAGCGUGUGCAGGCGGCCUAGCAAGUGGUGUAUGAAAUAUCCAGGCUCAACCUGGAGGGGUUAUGCCAGACUGCUCGGCUAGAGGGCGAGAGAGGGGCGUGGAAUUCCGGGUGUAGUGGUGAAAUGCGUAGAGAUCCGGAGGAACCCCAGAGGCGAAGGCGGCGCCCUGGCUCGCCACUGACGCUCAGACACGACAGCAUGGGGAGCGAACGGG